AUACGGAGGGUGCAAGCGUUAUUCGGAAUCACUGGGCGUAAAGGGUGCGUAGGCGGUUUGAUAAGUCUGAUGUGAAAUCCUAUGGCUCAACCAUAGAACUGCAUUGGAAACUGUCAGACUAGAAUACUGAAGGGGCAGAUGGAAUUAGUGGUGUAGGGGUAAAAUCCGUAGAUAUCACUAGGAAUACCGAAAGCGAAAGCGAUCUGCUGGGAAGUUAUUGACGCUGAGGCACGAAAGCGUGGGGAGCAAACGGGAUUAGAGACCCCAGUAGUCC
Molecule: ribosomal RNA, 274 nt
Filed under: uncultured bacterium
Lineage: Bacteria
Description: partial 16S ribosomal RNA
Rfam family: Bacterial small subunit ribosomal RNA
Source: RNAcentral